GGCGCCCGUCCCACGGCUGCGGGCCCGGCCGGUUUUCCUACUUCCUAGUUUCUCCGGUGGACUAAAGUUGCCCCGUCCCUCUUUGCCCCCUCCUCUGGCGGCGAAGGAGGCGGGGUGGGAGGCCGGGUGGGUGAGGAGGCCGCGGCGCACCGGCGGCGGAGGUACUACUUUGCGGAUCCCGCCGAAGUCACUCGGGGAGUUUGUUUUUUCUAGGCCCCGGUGUCGGUUAUUUAUUAUUUUACCGAGAGAGAGAAAAAAAAAUAAUCAGCUGGAGGGGACGCAGACGGCGCGGCGGGCCUCGGGCCGCCACGGGGCCGGGGUCCGGCAGCGGCCGGGGGCCGGGCGGGCCGAAGGCCGCCCGCCGCCCGCGGCCUGCCGGGGAAGACGGUCUCCGCCGGCCCGCUCGGUCCGUGCCUGCCACGCUCCGGAAUAAAUGCGGUUCAAAAAAAAAUCAUGUCAAUUUGUAAUUAUUUCAUUGCUCAACACUGAAGUCAAUGUAUGGGAAUUCUCAAGGAAGAGUGCGAUGUGGAGGAUAUGACUUGGCUCUACCAUGGCAAGGGGUAAGAGGAAAGGUAAGAUUCCUGCAUAUUAUUAUGAUUAUGAUGAUCAUUAACUACUAUGUGUCUUUAUGGUGCAGUAGGAUCCCAUAAGGGUGGCUGGGCCCAGUGCAUUUUCCUACUCGGUCUAGCAUGUAAUGAUUCGGUGUAACCGGAUUCUUGAGAAAGGACAGGUUACGUAAACAUUUACUGAUGUGGAGUAACUAUACUAUUUGUACUCUGAUAUGCAGGAAGGAAAGUGUUGAUUAACACAGAAGAAAAAAAAGCGAAAUUAGCUGAUUGCAUGCUCAUAAGUGCAAGCUGUCAUUGAACUGCUUUUAAAAUAGACACAGCUGGGUGUUUGUGUUGAAAAAUUUCUUGUGUUUUUGCUAAUACUGAAAUAAGCAUGAUUUUGUAUACCAAACAUUUUCAGAUCAUUAAAAUUUGUAAUCUGUGCUGGUUUUAAACACAAAGAAAAGAAACAGAUUCAUUUCGCUGUAAAAUUUGCUGAUAUUAUAUUAACUCAAUCAGGUCUGUACAAAUGGUGUAUUGUGCCUUAUCAAAUCUCUUUGAUCCAUUUAAUACACAAAGUGCCAAACGUGUGUAUUGUUUGUUAACAUUGAACGUUUUAUUCAAAUCCCAGCUCUGCAGCGAACUGGAGGAGUUCUCGUUUAAUGUAACACUGACAUUGCCUGUUGAAAUUUUAAUGCCUUGAGGUGUUUCUUAGGUCAAAGCUGAGUUUACUUUGCGUUGUGAUCAGGGAUGAAAAUGUAGCAGGGAAGAAAAUAAACAUUUUAUCGUUUUGCAUUUCUGAGCAAAGGGCUAACACCGAAAGAAGCACGCUUUUAAAACGUUUGAUGAUCUAGAUUUAACAUUCAGUCAUUUGUCACGGGUGCAGAAUAAAGCUCUGUGCACAAACUUAGGAUUUAUAUUAUAUUUUUUUUUAAUGCCGUGGAUAUA
This 1496-nucleotide long non-coding RNA is filed under the name Aquila chrysaetos chrysaetos. RNAcentral describes it as "lncRNA (ENSACCG00020001425.1)". The record is from RNAcentral. Lineage: Eukaryota; Metazoa; Chordata; Aves; Accipitriformes; Accipitridae.